This 953-nucleotide long non-coding RNA is filed under the name Hordeum vulgare. RNAcentral's name for it is "long non-coding RNA (HVUL_LNC009602)". Lineage: Eukaryota; Viridiplantae; Streptophyta; Magnoliopsida; Poales; Poaceae. The record is from RNAcentral.
CGACAAGGUUGAGGGGGAGAAUGUUGGGUCAACCUUGGUCUUCAAAGGCUGCAUGUCGGCAAUAUGCAUGCACACAUGCAUCGGCAGCAGAAGAAUAUACUUAGCUAGGAAGUAUUGGGCUGGUCAGUGGUAGAAACGUGGCUUACUAGUGAACCUAGGAUGUGACGUAAGUGCAGGGGAGAUCUUGUAGGAGAUCUUCACUCUGGUGGCAAAGCACGACGAGGGCGUACAGGCUACACAAAGCCUGAGAAGGCGGAAAUACCGACGAAAGCACUUGGUCGUGUCCAUUCUUCAGGAACUUACAGGACAAGGUCGGAANNNNNNNNNNACUGGGGGAGAACUUGUAGGAGAUCUUCACUCUGGUGGCAAAGCAUGACCAGGGCGCGCAGGCUACACAAAGCCUGAGAAGGCGGACAUACCGACAAAGGCACUUGGUCGUGUCCAUUCUUCAGGAACUUACAGGACAUGGUCGGAACCAUCGACAUUAAACUCUUUCGACAAGGUUGAGGGGGAGAAUGUUGGGUCAACCUUGGUCUUCAAUGGCUGCAUGUCGGCAAUAUGCAUGCACACAUGCAUCGGCCGCAGAAGCAUAUACUUAGCUGGGAAGUAUUGGGCUGGUCAGUGGUAGAAACGUGGCUUACUAGUGAACCUAGGAUGUGACGUAAGUGCUGGGGGAGAACUUGUAGGAGAUCUUCACUCUGGUGGCAAAGCACGACCAGGGCGUACAGGCUACACAAAGCCCGAGAGAGCGGAAAUACCGAUGAAGGCACUUGGUCGUGUCCAUUCUUCAGGAACUUACAGGACAAGGUCGGAAUCAUCGACAUCAAACUCUUUCGACAAGGUUGAGGGGGAGAAUGUUGGGUCAACCUUGGUCUUCAAAGGUUGCAUGUCGGCAAUAUGCAUGCACACAUGCAUCGGCUGUAGAAGCAUAUACUUAGCUAGGAGUAUUGGGC